UACGGGGGGUGCGAGCGUUGUCCGGAAUCACUGGGCGUAAAGGGCGCGUAGGCGGCCAGCACAAGUCAGUUGUGAAAUCUCCGAGCUUAACUCGGAAAGGUCAACUGAUACUGUGCGGCUAGAGUGCGGAAGGGGCAACUGGAAUUCCCAGUGUAGCAGUGAAAUGCGUAGAUAUUGGGAAGAACACCUGAGGCGAAGGCGGGUUGCUGGGCCGACACUGACGCUGAGGCGCGAAAGCCAGGGAGCGAACGGG
Molecule: ribosomal RNA, 253 nt
Filed under: uncultured bacterium
Lineage: Bacteria
Description: partial 16S ribosomal RNA
Rfam family: Bacterial small subunit ribosomal RNA
Source: RNAcentral